Long non-coding RNA from Astyanax mexicanus (Mexican tetra), 491 nucleotides. RefSeq lists it as uncharacterized. Lineage: Eukaryota; Metazoa; Chordata; Actinopteri; Characiformes; Acestrorhamphidae. The record is from RefSeq and is a predicted model, not a curated record. The transcript has 3 exons.
AAAGUUAUUAGCACUAUAGAGUGCAUGAACAUGAAAACAAUAUAAGAUACAUAUCCUGCACAUGAAAUACCCACCAGACCAACCAGGUAUUUGGACACCAGAUAUAUAUAAAUCAGAUUAAACUACACUAACAUGAAAUACCCGCCACAACAUCCAGGUAUUUGCAUACCAGAUAUAUAUAAAUCAGAUUAAACUGCACUGACAUGAAAUACCCGCCAGACCAACCAGGUAUUUGGAUACCAGAUAUAUAUAAAUCAGAUUAAACUGCACUGACAUGAAAUACCCGCCAGACCAACCAGGUAUUUGGAUACCAGAUAUAUAUAAAUCAGAUUAAACUGCACUGACAUGAAAUACCCGCCAGACCAUCCAGGUAUUUGGAUACCAGAUAUAUAUAAAUCAGAUUAAACUGCACUGACAUGAAAUACCCGCCAGACCAACCAGGUAUUUGGACACCAGAUAUAUAUAAAUCAGAUUAAACUAAACUAACAUGA